This 213-nucleotide long non-coding RNA is filed under the name Physcomitrium patens. RNAcentral's name for it is "long non-coding RNA (PPAT_LNC001671)". The record is from RNAcentral. Lineage: Eukaryota; Viridiplantae; Streptophyta; Bryopsida; Funariales; Funariaceae.
UUGGUUAGGAUUUGGUUUAGAGUUUGGUUUAGGAUUUAAGAUUUUUUUAGGAUUUGAUUUAGGAUUUAGGAUUUAUCCAAGGUUUAAUUUAGGAUCUAGGUUUGAUUUAGGAUUUAAAAUUUAUCUAAGAUUUGGUCUACAAUUUAAGAUUUAUUUAGGGUUUGAAUAAAGUCCAUUAAGAUUUUAAUUAGGAUUAAAUUAGAAUUUAGUUGA